Molecule: non-coding RNA, 45 nt
Organism: Schistosoma curassoni
Lineage: Eukaryota; Metazoa; Platyhelminthes; Trematoda; Strigeidida; Schistosomatidae
Source: Rfam
AUCUGGUUGACGAGUCCUAAAUGGAACGAAACGCGUGUCCUGGGU